Long non-coding RNA from Orcinus orca (killer whale), 2464 nucleotides. RefSeq lists it as uncharacterized. NCBI's taxonomy places the organism in Eukaryota, Metazoa, Chordata, Mammalia, Artiodactyla, Delphinidae. The record is from RefSeq and is a predicted model, not a curated record. The transcript has 7 exons.
ACUUCUGGGCUUCCCUGGUGGCGCAGUGGUCGAGAGUCCGCCUGCCAAUGCAGGGGACACGGGUUCGUGCCCCGGUCCGGGAAGAUCCCACAUGCCGCGGAGCGGCUAGGCCCGUGAGCCACGGUCGCUGAGCCUGCGCGUCUGGACCCUGUGCCCUGCAACGGGAGAGGCCACAACAUUUCCUGAGUUUCUGGGAAGGCCUGGUUUCCCCAAAGGAAUGAUUUCUGGUAGAAGUCUGAAGGUCUGACCCAAGAAAAAAACUCCAGUAUAGCCAAUGAAUUGAGGACAAGAAGGUUUCCAAUCAGUGUGAUCCCAGAAGUCUCACCAAGAGAUGGUGUUGAUUCUUCUCAGUGCAAGAGUUGCUCCACCUCUCAGAGAGGAGGAACAUCAGAAGUGCCAGCCACCCUACAUAAGCUCCAAGUCUCAUCCUUUCAAAGUUCCUUUCCUGUAGUGCAACUUCUGCACAUUCAGAUGAUCUCUGGUCCAUUUUAUCAGGGAUCAUGAUUGACUGAUGGCUCCAGUUACUAUUACCAGCACAGGACAGAGCCUGGUGUGGCCAAGAAAGCGGGCCAUUCCUGUGAAUACAAGACUGCCCCAACAGGCAUACUGUUGCUGCGUUUAACCUCACUGAAGCCAGACUAAUCUAGAGAUGUUCUUAGCUUCCUGUGACUCAUAUGAAGGUUAUCAUUUUAGAAGAGACCUUGAAAACAUACUCUGGAUUUAGGGGGGAAAAAAAACUCUGACAUUUCCAAGAGGAAAAGCUUUUUUUAAGUUUUAUAUUGUAGAUGCAGAGCUUAAAGCAUUUAAACACAUACAGCAAGCAAUAUAAUAUGAAUCAUGUAACAAAAGUUAAAUUUAAGUGAAAACCUUGUGUGGUAUGUUGCAGUCACAAAAGAAGAUACAAAAUUAAUGUGGACACCUGCUUGUUUUACUUGUAUCAGGAGAAAAUAAAAUUAAUUGUCAUUUAAUGAAUUGCUUUCUGUUGUAGCACACUUAAUUAUCUCUUCCUGUAACCCCAAGAAGUAUCUUUUCAAACUCACAGCUGUAUCUGAAUAGGGGCUACCAACUAAAGAGACUGUUUCCUUGCCACAGGUGAUCACAGGCUUAGGCAAACCCAGACCGUAUUUAGCUGUUGGCCUUCUGUUUCCCUUAACACAGGAGAUGAAUGCUAACCCCUUUUCCAGCUAGCUGCAUGUGGAACAGUUCUGGCUUCAGUCCCCUGCCACCUGCCAGCUCUGGGAUCUCAGGGUGCUCCUGGGAGAAUCAUAGGAAUGCGGAUGAACCCCUGAAAGAGACCUGAUGGUGCAGAGAAGGCAUCCGACAGAGGAUCAUGAAGCAGAGAGCAAAGAAGUGGGGUUGAAAAGAGGGAGGUAUACGCGGAGAUUGUUUUUCAUCUCAAAAUGUGCCAUUGUAUUCUACAUUCUCCUUGAAACAUUUCAAGGGCUCCAUUUGCAUAUAUUAGAUGCUUACUUCUUUUCACAUCAUGUUCUCCAUUCCUACCGAAUUACGUGUCAAUCUAUGAACUGUUUCUCCUUUGUACUUCUGUCACUUUAGUACAUUAACAAUUGCAAGUAGAGGUUUUCCACAGUGUGUUUUCCUCUUGGUACAACUUCUUUUGAAUCUAUCCUGUGUAUACAGAAAGAUCUCAAGCGUGUGGGCCAGUCAGAAUGAAGCCAAGCCCGCACUGGUGGAAGUCUACAUUCUAGAAGGGCUCCAAAGACACAAGGACACACAGUUGCAGUGAUUACAGUACUCAAACCUACCUAGAUUAGUUGCAAAGAUACUUCUUUAGCACUAUUUUCACAUUAAUUCUAUUAUUGUUUAAAUAUAAUUGCGUUUCUCUAGUUGAUGUAAGUAAAUCCUUUGCUUAAAAUAUUUCAUUUUGUUUCAACUGUUAAUUUGUUUUCUGAAAUGAGUGUAAUAAAUACAAAUUUUUAUUUGUCCUAACAAUUAAAAUGCAUGGAUUAACCCCCAGCUUGUACAAAUGCAGAAUCAUUACUAUCCCUAACAAUGUAAAACUCUGACAAAUUAGAUAUCACUAUUUCUUAAGGAAAAUUGAUCAUAAGAUAAUUUUUGGACCUAAAAAUCUGCAUUUGUCUCAAGCACAUUUAACAUGCAUUCAUGGGAGAAGGAUCAUCUUUUUUCUGUUUCAUAUACAACUCUGUUAAGUGGAUAUCUUAUGUUUUCUUACAUUUCCUGCAUAUAAUUUAAAGGAAAAAAAAGCCAUCCAAAAAGAGAAUAGAGGGAAUGAAUGUCUCAAUCCUUUUUUAAUUGUAUCACUGAUUCUUGGGGGGGUAUAGUGUGAUAGCUUCUGUAUUUUCUUUACUCCCUCCCUCCCCAAUUUUACUGAGUUGUGGUUGACUAUAACAUCGUAUAAGUUUAAAGAGUACAACAUAAUGAUUUGAUACAUGCAUAUAAUGUGAAAUGAUUACCACAAUAAAUUUAGUUAACAUCUGUCACCUCA